GGCUCAGGAUAAACGCUGGCGGCGUGCUUAACACAUGCAAGUCGAACGGAGUGGUUCUCCCGAAGACCUGAAGAGCUUGCUCAGAUGGAAUUCAUUUGAAUCACUUAGUGGCGGACGGGUGAGUAACGCGUGGGUAACCUGCCUCACACUGGGGGAUAGCAGUUGGAAACGACUGAUAAUACCGCAUAAGCGCACAGUAUCGCAUGAUACAGUGUGAAAAACUCCGGUGGUGUGAGAUGGACCCGCGUCUGAUUAGCUAGUUGGUGAGGUAACGGCCCACCAAGGCAACGAUCAGUAGCCGGCCUGAGAGGGUGUACGGCCACAUUGGGACUGAGACACGGCCCAUACUCCUACGGGAGGCAGCAGUAGGGAAUUUUGCGCAAUGGGGGAAAUCCUGAACCGCAGCAACACCGCGUGAAUGUUAAGCCCUUCGGGGUGUAAAGUUCUGUCAAUAGGGAAGAAUAAAUGACUGUACCUAUAAAGGAAGCACCGGCUAACUCCGUGCCAGCAGCGGC
RNAcentral lists this ribosomal RNA (515 nucleotides) under uncultured bacterium. RNAcentral describes it as "bacterial SSU rRNA". It matches the Rfam family "Bacterial small subunit ribosomal RNA", at positions 21 to 518 of the family's 1533-position model. The record is from RNAcentral.